AUAAGAUGCAGAGUGCAGUAAUCCAUUAGAGUAGCAUGUUCAUACCGACAAAGAUAAUCAAAUAUUUUUGCAAAACACAGUAUAAGCCACAUAUCAGAUUUUCAACAGGAAAUCAAGCAAUAUACAUCAAAGAUGAAUCUAGACAAGAUUGGUCACACCAUGGUAAACCUGCACGUCGCCAUUCUUUUCAGCCACCAAUUAGAGACGAGAUUUUUCAAAGCAAAAUACCAAUGAAGUGUCUUCUCAAUUAGAUUCUUAGAUUCCCUGUAGCAGACUCCAUGGUGCAGGUGGUGGACAAAGUUUUUCAGACUUGUAUCAAUAGAGACAAACCAUAACAUGAAAGCUAUUGACAAGAUCGGAAUCUAGACAAAACUUAAUUGGGUUACCAGGAGACAAGGUCAACUCGGUGUACAGCCACAGAGAGCUUCACAAAAAGACCAGCAAUGGCUUCCACAUGAUUCAUUCAAAUUUGUUAUAAUGUAUAUACAGUAAAUAGAAGUAGCAUGUGUAUUUUAGCUACCACCAAUCACAUUGCUUCAUAUGUCUUACGAUUCUUUCACCAUCUUCCACUAACAAAAAAUGUACAGUUGGAAGCAAUGCAAAGAGGAUUGAGAAAAUGAGUUUGAGCCCCAUUUUGGGGCAAAAAUGAAUAGUGUAUUGAUAGAAAAUGUGUGGUUAAAAAAUAAGGAAAUGUUUU
This 697-nucleotide long non-coding RNA is filed under the name Olea europaea subsp. europaea. The record is from RNAcentral. Lineage: Eukaryota; Viridiplantae; Streptophyta; Magnoliopsida; Lamiales; Oleaceae.